AGCGGUCUGCGCCUCGCGACAGGAAUUCAAUUCCCCGGGGCCUUAUCGAUCCUCUAGGGAGCUGUCCCUGGCCUUGCCCGUGGGCUUGGCCACACGGCGCCCACCUACUUUGUAGGUUCCCGGGAUCGGUCAUUCCAUCGGUUGUCGUGGAUCGCUG
Non-coding RNA from Chelativorans sp. BNC1, 157 nucleotides. Lineage: Bacteria; Pseudomonadati; Pseudomonadota; Alphaproteobacteria; Hyphomicrobiales; Phyllobacteriaceae. The record is from Rfam.